GUGACCUUCUGACCACACGACAGAAGAAGGAUCAACUGCUUUGGAUAGUGGUUGACCACAGGGAUUGAAACUGUAAAAGAAAAUUCGAAGUCCCAUGAUGCAGCAACAGUGACUCACCUUUCCAUCUGAGGGCCGUUCCUCCCAGUUCAAGUAUGAUGUUUGCUUAAAAGAUGAAACCAUCCCCAUUCUAAGUAAAUAUGACAUUUGGACAACUCUUCAA
Long non-coding RNA from Canis lupus familiaris (dog), 220 nucleotides. RefSeq lists it as uncharacterized. The record is from RefSeq and is a predicted model, not a curated record. The transcript is spliced from 2 exons. NCBI's taxonomy places the organism in Eukaryota, Metazoa, Chordata, Mammalia, Carnivora, Canidae.